CGGGCUGUAGCGCAGCUUGGAAGCGCACUGCCUUUGGGUGGCAGGGGUCGUCGGUUCAAAUCCGUCCAGCCCGA
RNAcentral lists this transfer RNA (74 nucleotides) under Actinocorallia herbida. It matches the Rfam family "tRNA". From Rfam's summary of the family: Transfer RNA (tRNA) molecules are approximately 80 nucleotides in length. Their secondary structure includes four short double-helical elements and three loops (D, anti-codon, and T loops). Lineage: Bacteria; Bacillati; Actinomycetota; Actinomycetes; Streptosporangiales; Thermomonosporaceae. The record is from Rfam by way of RNAcentral.